Molecule: ribosomal RNA, 313 nt
Filed under: uncultured Glomeromycotina
Lineage: Eukaryota; Fungi; Glomeromycota
Description: SSU rRNA
Rfam family: Eukaryotic small subunit ribosomal RNA
Source: RNAcentral
AGCAGCCGCGGUAAUUCCAGCUCCAAUAGCGUAUAUUAAAGUUGUUGCAGUUAAAAAGCUCGUAGUUGAAUUUCGGGGUUAGUAGGUUGGUCAUGCCUCUGGUAUGUACUGGUCUCACUGAUUCCUCCUUCCUGAUGAACCGUAAUGCCAUUAAUUUGGUGUUGCGGGGAAUUUGGACUGUUACUUUGAAAAAAUUAGAGUGUUUAAAGCAAGCUAACGCUUGAAUACAUUAGCAUGGAAUAAUGAAAUAGGACGUUCGAUCCUAUUUUGUUGGUUUCUAGGAUUGACGUAAUGAUUAAUAGGGAUAGUUGGG